This 433-nucleotide ribosomal RNA is filed under the name uncultured bacterium. Its description in RNAcentral is "partial 16S ribosomal RNA". It matches the Rfam family "Bacterial small subunit ribosomal RNA", at positions 28 to 507 of the family's 1533-position model. The record is from RNAcentral.
GACGAACGCUGGCGGCAGGCCUAACACAUGCAAAUCGAGCGGACCUUUCGGGGUCAGCGGCGGACGGGGGAGUAACGCGUGGUAAUAUGCCCUUCUCUACGGUAUAGUUCUGGGAAAGUGGGGGUAAUACCGUAUACGCCCUUUGCGGGAAAGAUUUAUCGGGGAAGGAUUAGCGCGCGUUGGAUUAGGUGGUUGGUGGGGUAAUGGCCUACCAAGCCGAGGAUCCAUAGCUGGUUGGAGAGGAUGAUCAGCCACACUGGGACUGAGACACGGCCCAGACUCCUACGGGAGGGAGCAGUGGGGAAUCUUAGACAAUGGGGGCAACCCUGAUAUAGCCAUGCCGCGUGAGAGAGGAAGGCCGUAGGGUUGUAAAGCUGUUUCAGCUGGGAAGAUAAUGACGGUACCAGCAGAAGAAGCCCCGGCUAACUCCGUG